Molecule: unclassified non-coding RNA, 432 nt
Filed under: Hevea brasiliensis (rubber tree)
Lineage: Eukaryota; Viridiplantae; Streptophyta; Magnoliopsida; Malpighiales; Euphorbiaceae
Source: RNAcentral
GAAGAUGAGAAGCUUGUCAACCAUAUCACUACCUAUGGCCAUGGAAGUUGGAGUUCUGUCCCAAAACUUGCUGGCUUGCAGAGGUGUGGUAAGAGCUGCAGAUUGCGAUGGAUAAACUACCUGAGGCCAGAUCUCAAAAGGGGUUCCUUCUCUGAACAAGAAGAGCAGAUUAUCAUUGAUGUUCAUAGAAUUUUAGGCAACAGGUGGGCGCAAAUAGCAAAACAUCUACCAGGGAGGACAGACAAUGAGGUAAAGAACUUUUGGAACUCAUGUAUAAAGAAAAAGCUCAUCUCACAAGGCUUGGACCCGAAAACUCACAACCUAAUCCCUUCUCAUCAGAGAGCCAAUAAUAAUAAGGUUGCUGCAGAGAACAUACUACAAUCCCACCAACCACCAUUUUCAAUUAUCACAUUGAAUUUACAGAUGACAGAU